RNAcentral lists this long non-coding RNA (707 nucleotides) under Lathyrus oleraceus (garden pea). RNAcentral describes it as "Pisum sativum (pea) long non-coding RNA (PSAT_LNC042273)". Lineage: Eukaryota; Viridiplantae; Streptophyta; Magnoliopsida; Fabales; Fabaceae. The record is from RNAcentral.
CACAAAAUUUGACCGCAAAUGCAUGUAUGCAUGAUGCAAAAGACAGACAGACACAGAGACACAGGAGUGCAAACUCUACUGGGGAAGGACAUACACCGACUCAAUGCAUGAAGGUAAACACUGAGAAUACUCAGCUGGGGAAGAUUCACUACCUAUUCAUAGAUGGAAAAUAGGAGGAAAAGAGAUAUCGACUCAAUGUUGACGAUACAUCACUAUCUCAUAGAUGAAAGUGGGAAAAGAUCAAUAUAACAAGAGUACUGAUGUGACAGUACAUUACCAACUCAAAGAUGGAGGUAACAGAAAAGAUGAAUACCAACUCAAGGAUGAAGGUAUAACAAGGGCAUAAUAAGAAUCGAACUGCGUUAACUCAUGGUUGACAGCUCACUACCCACUCAUUGAUGAGGUAAACAGGACAUGCCAACUCAAAGUUGAAGGCAAGCUUCAAAAGAUUGAUAAUAACACUGCUAGGGAAAUCAAAUUCCAACUCAUUGAUGAUGGUGUAGAUGAAGAAUCAGAUCUAAGGAUCAUUGUGCAGACUUACAGUUGAAUGCACACUACCAACUCAUUGAUGAGGUAGACAGAGAAAUGCCGACUCAAAGUUGAAGGCAACCACCGAUUCAUUGACAAAGGUGUUUAAAAGAAUUUAGAACAUAUUCUCCUGGAGAUGUUUAUCAUUACCGACUCAAAGAUGACGGUGGAAGGACAAA